AGAUUCCAGUUGCUCAUCCAGUUGCUUCUGGGCUCGUUAAGGGACUGCAAAACACGCAGGUGAUUUUGGGGAACAUCUUAAUAUUGUGUACAUGGUGCAGAACAUAGUAUAAUGUACAGAAAGCCCUCAGAGGGAAAUAUAAACUUCCCUUGGCAGACUCCAGUUCUUCAAGAAAACAAUGUGUAGAACUGGUGAGCUUCCUGGUAACUAUUUUCUGCAGCUCUGGGCAUGUUUGCUUCCUAAGACUCUGCAGGUGAGAGCAGAGGAGGCUAUGAGAUCUAAAGCUCAUGGUGGCUCAAGGUGUUCAACUGGAUCCAUAACGAGAAGAACACAUCAGUUACAGUAAGCUAACAGACAUGAAAAAAUGCAGUUUUGCCACAUCAAUACAGACCCAGUCAAUUGUUCUAGUUUGGGAGGCUUGCCCUAAGUUUGUAGCCAGAUCUCUUUCAAAGUCCUUUCCAAACAAACUACUCAUAAUACUGUGUAAAGGUUGUUCAAACAAUAUAUAACAGUCCUCAGAGUCUGCAUAACAAUUAACUUUGCAUAGAAAAAUAAGAUCUGUGCAAGAUAAAUCUGAGCUAUUCAUUGUAUAAAUGUUACAAAUUGUCUAAGUGACUACAUAUCCUCUGAUUAGCAAAAAUCACGCUUGUUUUGUCAAAAUAUUUGCUUCCAUAUAUGGGGCAUAAAGACGCACCCUGGGCAAAGCAUGAAAGCCAUAGAGAACUUUGCUACUGAAGCCUGCAACGCCACAUUUCGCUCUAUAUAAGGCAGGGACCUCUCAGCUAUUGACACUGCCAGGCUGCCUCGUCCUGGGACUGGAGUGGCAGCUGCAAUCUGUCUCCCAGAUGUCGACGUCUGAACGCUGCAUUAUAUAAAUGUCAUGUGCCCCGUCCUUGGUGUUUUUCAGAGAAAUGCAGAAGCCUGAUUGCAUUUGUUAACUUGUAGACAACACGUACACUAGUACUUCUCAAUAGGGAGUUUAUC
This is a non-coding RNA of Anas platyrhynchos (mallard), 984 nucleotides long. NCBI's taxonomy places the organism in Eukaryota, Metazoa, Chordata, Aves, Anseriformes, Anatidae. The record is from RefSeq and is a predicted model, not a curated record.